AGCGAACGCUGGCGGCAGGCUUAACACAUGCAAGUCGAGCGGGCAUCCUUGUGGUGUCAGCGGCAGACGGGUGAGUAACGCGUGGGAACGUGCCCUUCGGUUCGGAAUAACUCAGGGAAACUUGAGCUAAUACCGGAUACGCCCUUUUGGGGAAAGGUUUACUGCCGAAGGAUCGGCCCGCGUCUGAUUAGCUAGUUGGUGAGGUUAUGGCUCACCAAGGCGACGAUCAGUAGCUGGUCUGAGAGGAUGAUCAGCCACACUGGGACUGAGACACGGCCCAGACUCCUACGGGAGGCCGCAGUGGGGAAUAUUGGACAAUGGGGGCAACCCUGAUCCAGCCAUGCCGCGUGAGUGAUGACGGCCUUAGGGUUGUAAAGCUCUUUUCUCCGGGACGAUAAUGACGGUACCGGAGGAAUAAGCCCCGGCUAACUUCGUG
RNAcentral lists this ribosomal RNA (436 nucleotides) under uncultured bacterium. RNAcentral describes it as "partial 16S ribosomal RNA". It matches the Rfam family "Bacterial small subunit ribosomal RNA", at positions 29 to 507 of the family's 1533-position model. The record is from RNAcentral.